This 333-nucleotide ribosomal RNA is filed under the name uncultured Alteromonadales bacterium. RNAcentral describes it as "SSU rRNA". It matches the Rfam family "Bacterial small subunit ribosomal RNA", at positions 30 to 367 of the family's 1533-position model. The record is from RNAcentral. Lineage: Bacteria; Pseudomonadati; Pseudomonadota; Gammaproteobacteria; Alteromonadales.
UUGAACGCUGGCGGCAGGCCUUACACAUGCAAGUCGAGCGAGAAAUUUUCUUCGGAAAGAGUAAAGCGGCGGACGGGUGAGUAACGCGUAGGAAUCUACCUAGUAGUGGGGGACAACAUGUGGAAACGCAUGCUAAUACCGCAUACGCCCUAUGGGGGAAAGCAGGGGAUCUUCGGACCUUGUGCUAUUAGAUGAGCCUGCACUUGAUUAGUUUGUUGGUGGGUAAUGGCCUACCAAGACUGUGAUCAAUAGCUGAUUUGAGAGGAUGAUCAGCCACAUUGGGACUGAGACACGGCCCAAACUCCUACGGGAGGCAGCAGUGGGGAAUCUUGC